UACGUAGGGGGCAAGCGUUGUCCGGAAUCAUUGGGCGUAAAGAGCGUGUAGGCGGCCAGAAAAGUCCGCUGUGAAAACUCGAGGCUCAACUUCGAGCUGUCGGUGGAAACUUUCUGGCUAGAGUCCGGAAGAGGAGAGUGGAAUUCCUGGUGUAGCGGUGAAAUGCGCAGAUAUCAGGAGGAACACCGGUGGCGAAGGCGGGUCUCUGGGCCGUAACUGACGCUGAGGAGCGAAAGCGUGGGGAGCGAACAGG
RNAcentral lists this ribosomal RNA (253 nucleotides) under uncultured bacterium. Its description in RNAcentral is "partial 16S ribosomal RNA". It matches the Rfam family "Bacterial small subunit ribosomal RNA", at positions 524 to 776 of the family's 1533-position model. The record is from RNAcentral.